This is a long non-coding RNA of Rhinopithecus roxellana (golden snub-nosed monkey), 2083 nucleotides long. RefSeq lists it as uncharacterized. Lineage: Eukaryota; Metazoa; Chordata; Mammalia; Primates; Cercopithecidae. The record is from RefSeq and is a predicted model, not a curated record. The transcript has 5 exons.
CUGUCAUUCUGGUCUCCCAGCCAUUCUUAGGAAGAGACAUGCCUGGCUCCGGGAAGGGGCAACUUCUCUGCCUGUCAGAGUUAAGUAAUGAAGAAAAAGUUCAAGAAGUGUCCUGAACAGCAGCAGCUGUGGGUGGGGAAUGUUGAAUGUCUGGGAGACUGAGAGCUGGUCCAAUUUUUUGAAUGAAGACUUCUGUGCUAAAGAGGAUCUAAGCAGCUCAAAUGGACUAAGACAUACACUCUACAAUUAGAAGAGUUUCUUUCACUAUGUCAUCUGGAAGCCCAAGCAAAACAAGCUUAGAAGAAAGAACAAACUAGAAAAAUCCUGCAAAUGUGGACUUUGAUCAAUUUCCUUCCUGAUAAGAUUCAGAUAAGUAUAUGAAAGAGUUUGCCAUUAAGAAUCAGAACAAUUAAGUUUGAUUAAGUACAAUCAAAUGAUUUCUUAUAAGUGGCAAGUGCAAGACACAUUGAUAUGUAAAAUAAAUUUUAUUUCUUGAAAAGAGUACAAUUUUAUUUGCUCUUAGAAGAUUUUCAUGUUGUAUGAUUUAGAAGACUAUACAAAAGAUAGAAGAUGGUGGAUAGCAAUUUUAUUUUUCUAAUUUAAUAGUUAUUAAAUCAAACUCUAUUAAUCUAAACAAGGAAUCCUAUUUUCUUUGUGCGAAGAAAAAACCAGCAGAUAAAUUUCUAAGUGUCACAAAGAGAAUUGUGGGUGUAAAGUUCUUGUUAUUAUUAAUAUGAGUUAGGUGUAAAAUAGCCAAAGAAAAUCUGCUUAAAAAUCACCAUUAUAUAAAACUUACUCUAGAGAAUAAAGAUGACCCCUGGAAUGUACUUAGCAAGACAAUAAAUAAAGGUGUAAGCAUCAGGCGUUCUCUGAAUAGGGAUAUUUCUUAAUUGGGUGGUAUAUUAUUUUCCUCCAGUCAUGAGAUAUAUAUGUCUGUCCACAGAAUAGAUGCCUUAGGGAUAAAUCUUAAGGUGAGUAAAUGAUUUCAUUCUGAGCAUAAAGAGUUUUUGUACUUGUUUAUUAGAAAUACCAUCUAAAACUCAGAUUAUUAUUUUUGAUUUAGGUUAACAAUAAUGUCUUGGUUCCUGUUUCUUUUUCUCUUUCCCAUGUUGCUUAGCACCCAUUAUCAGUGAUGUCAAAAGAUGGCAGGAGGGAAAAAAAGGAUUAAAAAAUACCACAAAAUAAUUGAUCAGAAAGAGUACUUCUUGAAUGCACUGUAAUUUUGCUCUCAAGUAGGAAUUCUAAACCUCCGCGGAGUGAAUCUUUGUCUCAUGGGAAAAGGAUAUUUCCCUUUCUGGAUCGGUCAGAGCUCCCAUCUGCCUCCCACCAUGACCAUCCCUCAUCAUAACUGUGACUGUUAUGCUUCUAGAUGAAAAGACACUGGAUUUAUGCUGUACAGCAUGCACAAAUGGGACACUGGCCUGUAAUGUUUGAUGGAUCGGAUUCGCAGGAGGCCGUCUGAAUACCAUAUGAGGCGUGAGGCUGGUGUUCCCCAGUCCCUACAGUGAGCUGUAGUGUUGGGGAUAGGCUAAGCCACGUUGGGCGGGCUACACUUUUCAGACUCACUCGGUUCAGCUGUGGUGACACAGGCCGGGGGCAUCUCAAGCUGUUUGGGGCUUGCACUAACCACGUGUGACAGACACCUUUGCUCCUGCUUCCCAGCAGUAGGAUCUCAACUAGAAACAGUGGGAAAAUCACUCUUCUACUUGAGAGCAGACUACAGAGACCUCUGAAUUAUAGUCUCGAAUUCCUCAGUGCAGCCUAGGUUAAAACUCCUACUUUAAGAUAACAUUGACUUACACCAAUUUUUCUACUCCCGUCACCUUCUCCAAAGGUAAUGCUGGCAUCGUAGUUCCCAUUUUACAGAAAAAGAAACUGAAGCUUGAAGAGAUAUGAGAAUAUUCCCAAAGUCCCAGGGGCCAAGCAAGAACCUCAACCCAAGGACUUUGAAUUCCUGAUUCUGUAUUUCUUCCAUGCCAGAACUUCUGAGGAUAGGUUCAGAAGUUCUUACCAUGCCCUUGGAAGUCUGUUUGGGUUUAUAUCUUCCAAGUUAUAUAACACAAAUUAUAAAGUCUAAUGGAUC